RNAcentral lists this ribosomal RNA (253 nucleotides) under uncultured bacterium. RNAcentral describes it as "partial 16S ribosomal RNA". It matches the Rfam family "Bacterial small subunit ribosomal RNA", at positions 524 to 776 of the family's 1533-position model. The record is from RNAcentral.
UACGUAGGGUCCGAGCGUUGUCCGGAAUUACUGGGCGUAAAGAGCUCGUAGGUGGUUUGUCGCGUUGUCCGUGAAAACUCACAGCUCAACUGUGGGCGUGCGGGCGAUACGGGCAGACUGGAGUACUGCAGGGGAGACUGGAAUUCCUGGUGUAGCGGUGGAAUGCGCAGAUAUCAGGAGGAACACCGGUGGCGAAGGCGGUUCUCUGGGCCUGUUCUGACGCUGAGGAGCGAAAGCGUGGGGAGCGAACAGG